Molecule: ribosomal RNA, 274 nt
Filed under: uncultured bacterium
Lineage: Bacteria
Description: partial 16S ribosomal RNA
Rfam family: Bacterial small subunit ribosomal RNA
Source: RNAcentral
CUACGGAGGGUGCGAGCGUUAAUCGGAAUUACUGGGCGUAAAGCGUACGUAGGCGGUUGGUUAAGUUAGAUGUGAAAGCCCCGGGCUUAACCUGGGAACUGCAUUUAAAACUGGCGAACUAGAGUUGAGUAGAGGGGAGUGGAAUUUCAGGUGUAGCGGUGAAAUGCGUAGAGAUCUGAAGGAACACCAGUGGCGAAGGCGACUCCCUGGACUCGAACUGACGCUGAGGUACGAAAGCGUGGGUAGCAAACGGAAUUAGAUACCCCAGUAGUCC